GUAAAUGGGGUUGUGGGGUACUUAAGAUCAGAUAAUGGCUUGCGGUAAGGGAUUAGAUAACAUACGAUCAGACUUUCGCGGUAAGGGAUUAGAUAACAUACGAUCAGACUUUUGCAAUGAAACAAAAGAAACAAUCGAGCUAAUCUAUCAACCAGGUUUCGUGAAAAAUAAUUGCAAUCCCAAUCUAAAUCCAUCACUACCAUCACAUGAAAGCGUCCACUGCUCUCUGUCAAUGAGAAUGAGUUCAAUAAAAUUGGCCUUCACAUAACAUAAUUAAGAUCAGACCUUGGCCUUAGAAGAGGUGGGCUUAAUCCAGCAGAGAUCCUCAUGGGCUUCAAAAGGUUGGGUAAUGGGCUGAAGGGAGAGCAUAAAUAACUUGGGCUAGGCCCAAAGCGAGAGACUCUUUUUUGAAGCUUUUUCUCUGUUUGUUUUUCUCUUAUUGUAAUAAAAGGUUUUAGCUUCUGAAUUGGUUUUUAGCUCUAUCACUUCUCUCCUUUGAUGUUGCAGUUUAGAUCCUCUUCACAGUCAGUCUUCUCUAGACUGAAAGACCUCAACUUAUAUCUUCCUGAACUUUAUCCAAAUUGAUAUAUGAUUAAGAACACCACCAUCAAACCAUGUCCUUGUUGCUUUAACGAUUCACAGACCAAACACACUUUAAUCCCUUUUCACUUCACCUCUUGUGAAAAAUCUUUCACAUAUUUCUUUUUCACGGUGUCUCUUUCCAUCCUCUUAUGAUUUUGUUUUGUCUAAUCAAUACGUGCCUUAAUUUUCAAACUUUCCACUUGCUCCAUACUUUUUCUUCGAAAAUCCCUUAUUUUCCUUGUUAGUAAAACCUUUUAUCAAGCUCAUCGAGGGGUAGCUUAGUUAAGUCAAUAUCUCUAUCCUAUUACUAUGUCGUUUUAAUCCUUAGAUUGUUUAUUUAAACUAUGAUGUCUCAUCAUUAGGUUU
Molecule: small RNA, 948 nt
Filed under: Arabidopsis thaliana (thale cress)
Lineage: Eukaryota; Viridiplantae; Streptophyta; Magnoliopsida; Brassicales; Brassicaceae
Description: ATSL208670
Source: RNAcentral